RNAcentral lists this unclassified non-coding RNA (270 nucleotides) under uncultured fungus. RNAcentral describes it as "partial contains small subunit ribosomal RNA, internal transcribed spacer 1, and 5.8S ribosomal RNA". The stretch from base 1 to 73 matches the Rfam family "Eukaryotic small subunit ribosomal RNA", at positions 1759 to 1831 of the family's 1831-position model. Lineage: Eukaryota; Fungi. The record is from RNAcentral.
GCAAACUUGGUCAUUUAGAGGAAGUACAAGUCGUAACAAGGUUUCCGUAGGUGAACCUGCGGAAGGAUCAUUAACAAAUCGAUUUUGCGCAUGUGUCAUUACAUCUUAUGUAUAUGGUCGUGCACAAUACAUUUGUGCUCCAAGCAUUUGUCUUGGUUGCAUCAAAAAUAUUCAUGAUAUUAUUGUAUUAGUGUGUUUUUUGUAACAAGAAAUCUUUUAAAUACUUUUAACAAUGGAUCUCUUGGCUCUUGCAUCGAUGAAGAACGCAGC